Molecule: long non-coding RNA, 3000 nt
Filed under: Pan troglodytes (chimpanzee)
Lineage: Eukaryota; Metazoa; Chordata; Mammalia; Primates; Hominidae
Description: long non-coding RNA NONPTRT009183
Source: RNAcentral
GGUGAAGAGUGGAUGGCCUGGGAGCAGCACUGCCAUGUGGAAUAGGAAACCAGAGAUGGCCUCAUAGGGGAAGAGACUUUCACACAGAGGAAACAGUACAUGCAGAGGCCACAGGCCAGAGCCUGGCACAUCAGAGUGAGUGCAGGAGGUGACUGGAGAAAAGAAGAGGGGGCAGAGGUGAAAGGUGAAGCCCUGGAGGCCACUGUUGUGGUUUAUGUUUCACUUCGACCUGGAGGCCAGUGUUGUGGUUUAUGUUUCACUUCGACCUGGAGGCCAGUGUUGUGGUUUAUGUUUCACUUCGACCUGGAGGCCAGUGGAGGAUUUGAGCCCUGGGUCCCGUGCUUUGCCUUUUGCAUUCAUAAUAAUAGCAGUGUUGUAGAGCCCUCAAUAUGAGCCAGACCUAAGUUCAAACUCUUUACCUACAUCAACAACUCUGAGGGGCAAAAACUAGUAUCAGGCCCAUUUUCCGUCCACAAGAGUCUAAGUGACAUUCUCACAGAAGCACAGUUACUCAGAAGCGGAAGCAAAAGUUGAACUUCUAAGUCAAGCUCUAGACCAUGCUGGGGUCCACAUCCCUGCACACUACCAGGGCCCCGUGUGGCUGCAGCAGGGAUGCCAGGAACAGGAAAUCUGGCUGCUGCAUCAAACCCGCCUGGAGGCAGCAGGGCUGGGACCAGGGUGCUGAGAGGCCGUGCUGGGCACAGGGAGAUUCUGGGCAUCUUUUAUAAACAAAGCCAAAAAGGCAAUCAAGGAUAACACCAAAUGUCUUAGCCUGAACAACUGGAAGGAGAGCAUCACCACUGGCAGGAUGCAGAAGGCCAGGGAAUGAGGAUUGUUUAAUGCCCGUUGAGGACAGAAAUCAGAUCUGUUUUGUCCAUAAUGCCAAUCAAAGCUGAGUUCUCCGAAGUGGACAGAGAAGUGAGUGACUCUCAGAAAGUCUCUCUGAUCUAUUUUUGGCUGAGUGUGCUGUAAUUCACAGUAUGUCCAGACACGGGAUAUUUUUCAGCUUCAGAUAUCAUCAUGGAAGGCGCUAAGUCUCAGGCAGAGCAAUGCUUAGCUUCUUGUGUCCUCAGCACAUGCAAAGAAGUGGGUGUCAGAGCAACGUGCGCCCCCGUGCAUGUCAGCAGAGACAUUGCCAGUGCUCUGGGAGCACUUGUUCCCAAUUUAAUUAAAAACAAAAAACUCCCAAUAGCAAUUUGUCACUGUGCUUUAGGAGGCAUGGAAGCUGUGCUCCAAACUACUGUGACCUGGUUGUUUUGCAGCAAACCUGGUCUGGCUCAUUAACAACUGGAGGCAUAGUCUGUGCUUCAUGCUUCCGUUCCUCAGUUACUCCUGUGAGCCUGGGGUUGGGUGAUAUAACAAACAUGAAGGGAGACCAGUGGGAGGAAAAAUCAGGGCAGGGGCUGUCCCUGUUCUCCAGGCUGGAGCUGGCACUGGCAGCUGCUAUUGCAAACUCAACCUUACUAAUGCCAAUCGGAAAUAUGCACUCAAUCCACUGGGAAAAGCAAGUCAUGAAGAAAUCUCAUCCCCACAGCCAGCACACCCCAGGCUGAUUGGCGAAGCUGCUAAUUGCUUAACACAAGCAAUUAGCAAGGUAGAUGACACCGGAGAAAUGCAAAGCAGUUGCAGUGAGCAUUUUAAAUAUCGCCUUAACUCACUGGAGUAGCUGAGAGGUCCGGAUGAGAGCAGUAGCAUAUCAAUCACUUAGGAGCUGCAAAGACACUAGCUCUGCGUUAAUCAAAGAAUCUGUCUCUGCUGAGGGGAAAAAGCCAGGAAAACACCUGAAAAUGUGGCUUUCGGCUCCUGUGCCCUAGUUUCUUCACCAGAAACCAAAUUCCAGACUCCAUUCAAUUCCUCAUCAGUGAUCAAUAUAGGUAACAAAAUGCUGGGCUGUGUGUGGAUCUAUGAGCAGAUGCUGGAGGCACUGGUACAGACACAGCUGAGCCUGAGGGAUCAGCAGCUCCCUGGGACCUCCCUGCCUUCAUCAAGGAGAAAUGUUUAAUCACAACAGAGCAAGAUAUACAUUCUUCCUGCUGGGGGUGGAAGGAACCUGAGGGCUGUAGUUUAAGGCUUGAAGAAGUGGCAGAGACGCAGAUCACAUCUCUGCUCUUGCUGAUCCCUCUCGCUGAGGAAAACCCAACCCUUCCAGUGCCCCAAGUGCCAUGCUUGCUGGCCCCCCUCACGAGGUGCAUUCAGUGCAGUCCUAACUUCCGACCAGUAUCAGGAAGGAAUUCACCUACCUCCUCAGUGAUUGCGCUCUUCAAGGUGAACAGCCCAGAUCCUUCUAGGCUGCCCAUCCUCCAGCCCCCAGGCCGGGAAGGAAGUCAUCACUUCCCAGGAGAGUUUUGGCAGAUUGGAUUUUCCAAAGAUGGCGCCAUCAAUAUCUCUCAUCCCCCACAAUCUCCUUACACAGUGACAGGUCAUCUGUGACACCAAGAUAUCAGGGCUGUGUCCCCUCCUCUGAAUCAGAGUAGACCUCUUUGACUGCCUCAACACAGAGUACAGCAAAGUGAAGCCCUGUGACUCCUGAGACCAGAUCAUGGAAAUUCUCGGUUCUUCCUCUUUGUUCUCUUGGGACGUUACUGCUGGAACCAGACACUGUGCUGUGAGAAAGCCCAGGCAGACCUUGGAGAAGGCCCCGUGUGGAGAGAAACCAAAACCUGGGGCCCACCGCCCUUGCUGCCCUCCCCGACAACAACUGGAACCACACUUCAGCCCCAGAGUAAGACAUCUCCGAAGCAGGUCCUCUACCCUCCAGGGGUCUGCCCCAGAGGGUGCCCCAGAGAGCAAGGCAAGCUCUCUCCACCAAGCCCUGCAAUCUUCAAAUUCAUGAGCAGAAUAAAUAACCACAGUUGUGUCAAAAGACAAAAUCACAACAAAUUUAAAGAUCUUAAUUGGCUUUUAUGUGUGAUCCGUGAAUCAGGGCAGCCUCCAUCCUACAAAAUAAAAUGAAAGCUUGAAAGCUUCCACCAACCAGUAGCAGAACAGUGAGUUUUCUAA